AUUGAACGCUGGCGGAAUGCUUUACACAUGCAAGUCGAGCGGCAGCGCGGGGGCAACCCUGGCGGCGAGCGGCGAACGGGUGAGUAACACAUCGGAACGUACCCAGUCAUGGGGGAUAGCCCGGCGAAAGCCGGAUUAAUACCGCAUACGACCUGAGGGUGAAAGUGGGGGAUCGCAAGACCUCACGUGAUUGGAGCGGCCGAUGGCGGAUUAGCUAGUUGGUAGGGUAAAGGCCUACCAAGGCGACGAUCCGUAGCGGGUCUGAGAGGACGGCCCGCCACACUGGAACUGAGACACGGUCCAGACUCCUACGGGAGGCAGCAGUGGGGAAUUUUGGACAAUGGGCGAAAGCCUGAUCCAGCCAUUCCGCGUGAGUGAAGAAGGCCUUCGGGUUGUAAAGCUCUUUCGGCAGGAACGAAACGGUGGGUUCGAAUAAAGCUCACUAAUGACGGUACCUGAAGAAGAAGCACCGGCUAACUACGUGCCAGCAGCCGCCGUAA
This 500-nucleotide ribosomal RNA is filed under the name uncultured bacterium. Its description in RNAcentral is "partial 16S ribosomal RNA". It matches the Rfam family "Bacterial small subunit ribosomal RNA", at positions 29 to 523 of the family's 1533-position model. The record is from RNAcentral.